UUUAGAUGCAUGUAACAGUAACAGCAUGACGAUGCCCAGGUGGCUGACAGGAACAUGCUUUCUUGAACUUUUUUUCUGCCUACUUUCACUGGCAAGUUUUUAACACAUCCAGGUUAGCCCCCAGGAAGAAGGGUAUAGCUGCAUGACACAGGGAAGGAAGAGUUUCAAACGGAAAAGAAAGGAAAGGACUUUGUAGACUGGGAAGGAAAUCCACCAGAGAGGAGAGAGCUCUCACGGAAAGGGGAGAGAGAGAAUGGAAACAAAGAUUAUGCUCAAGAAAAAGUUCCAGGCUGAAAUCUGUUGUCAAAGAGAAGAGCUGUGUGCAAGCUAAUCUCCUAUUGUCUGCAAAUCCCUGUCCACAAGCCCGCCUGCAGCAAUUAAUGGGAAUCCUGCUUCUGAAAUACAACCGCAAACAGACAGGCACACACACACAUACAGACACAUGUUGUGGAGAUCUGACUUCUGUUCAGCUCCGAGCUCUACUUAAAUCAAAUGAAAAGUGUGCUUACCAUUUUCAUCUAACCGCAUAAUGAAAUAUUAUAGGUAUUGUGCUCUGAAAGCGAGGAAGAGAAAACUAGCUUGCUUAAAAUAAGAGCUGACAAAUCUUUCUUUGGCUUUUAUUUCACUGAGUUGUCAUACUCAUCAAAAGAACCUCCUCUCUUUUAUGUCUUAUUUCACCUGAGGACAGUAUGCCUAGCUCUCUGUCACUUCUCCAGCCACUGUUUUGGAGCUCCAUUGCCAGUUGCUUAAUAUCCUGCCCUGAUAGCCAUCAUAUUAUGUUGUCGCCUUGCAUCCUUGAUAGAUCUUCAUGCAUGUGAGGCAUGAUGAUGCAAUGAAAAUGUAGCUACUCAAAAGAGGCAGCAAGAAAGCUCACACUAGAAGACUUGC
Molecule: long non-coding RNA, 888 nt
Organism: Struthio camelus australis
Lineage: Eukaryota; Metazoa; Chordata; Aves; Struthioniformes; Struthionidae
Source: Ensembl